UGGGGAAUAUUGGACAAUGGGGGCAACCCUGAUCCAGCAAUGCCGCGUGUGUGAAGAAGGUCUUCGGAUUGUAAAGCACUUUCGACGGGGACGAUGAUGACGGUACCCGUAGAAGAAGCCCCGGCUAACUUCGUGCCAGCAGCCGCGGUAAUACGAAGGGGGCUAGCGUUACUCGGAAUGACUGGGCGUAAAGGGCGUGUAGGCGGUUUACACAGUCAGAUGUGAAAUCCCCGGGCUUAACCUGGGAGCUGCAUUUGAUACGUGUAGACUAGAGUGUGAGAGAGGGUUGUGGAAUUCCCAGUGUAGAGGUGAAAUUCGUAGAUAUUGGGAAGAACACCGGUGGCGAAGGCGGCAACCUGGCUCAUGACUGACGCUGAGGCGCGAAAGCGUGGGGAGCAAACAGGAUUAGAUACCCUGGUAGUCCACGCUGUAAACGAUGUGUGCUAGAUGUUGGGUAACUUUGUUAUUCAGUGUCGCAGUUAACGCGUU
Molecule: ribosomal RNA, 489 nt
Filed under: uncultured bacterium
Lineage: Bacteria
Description: partial 16S ribosomal RNA
Rfam family: Bacterial small subunit ribosomal RNA
Source: RNAcentral